UCAAACUUGGUCAUUUAGAGGAAGUAAAAGUCGUAACAAGGUUUCCGUAGGUGAACCUGCGGAAGGAUCAUUACCGAGUGAGGGCCCUCCGGGUCCAACCUCCCACCCGUGUCUACCGAACCCGGUUGCUUCGGCGGGCCUGCCGUCCAGGCUGUCCGGGGGCUCCCGCCCCCGGGCCCGCGCCCGCCGGAGACCCCAAUCGAACGCUGCCUGAAGGAUGCAGUCUGAGCUUUAAGCACAAUCAGUUAAAACUUUCAACAACGGAUCUCUUGGUUCCGGCAUCGAUGAAGAACGCAGC
This 298-nucleotide unclassified non-coding RNA is filed under the name uncultured fungus. RNAcentral describes it as "partial contains small subunit ribosomal RNA, internal transcribed spacer 1, and 5.8S ribosomal RNA". The stretch from base 1 to 73 matches the Rfam family "Eukaryotic small subunit ribosomal RNA", at positions 1759 to 1831 of the family's 1831-position model. The record is from RNAcentral. Lineage: Eukaryota; Fungi.